GGGAGGAGAGCCGCUGGAGGCUGCAGGGGAUAAAGGGAAAGUGCCAGGAGGGACUUCACAGCCAGCAGCGACAGUGACAGCGGUUGUUCAGUCUUCCCAGACACUCUCAGCCCGAGGCAGGAGAGAUGAGGCAUCUGGAGCCCAGAGACGCUGCCAGGAGGGUCCAAGCUGAGGCCAAGAGCUCAUAUUUUACCACUGGUGUUAUAAAGAAUGGAGAGGCAGGACGUGGCUGUGCACACCUAUAAUCCCAGCAGUCUGGAGUUUGAGACAGGAGGAUCCUAUGGGCAGUUUCUAAACACUUCUUUGCAGACUAUGGUUUAACACACCCUCUGCAGGGGAUUAAAUAAGUAGUUCAUGGAUGCCCAGUGGAGUUUUCCAGUGAUGUCCAGGGGCUGAACAGAGGGGCAGAUGUGAGGAGUCAGCUGCCUGCUAAUAAACCGCGCAUCCAAGAAUCCACGACUGUGUGAGACAGUGCUGCCUUUCUCACUAAACCUUUUGGGAAAAUAUGGUUGUUCUGAAUAAAAAUGUUUAACAUGCAGUGAGUUUAUUGCUCUUUUAAGAUUAAUAAAUUUAAAUGGUUUCUUCUUUUAAAUGUCUCAUAUGCCUGUGGAUGCACUGCACCUGACCAAAGCUUUCAGGGUCUUUCAGCACUAGGCAUUCCUGAGGGCAAACAGGCACAGGACUGAGUGUCUGCAAAACUCUUGUGUUGUCUAAACCUAAAACUGUGUAAUGUGUGUCCAAAGUGUCUUCUGAUGAAACUCCUCCCUCCCUGGGAAGCCCAUUAUGGCAACAGAAUUGUACAAGAAAACAUUUGAGCCAGCCACCAUGAUAUUCACCUAUAAUCCCAGUGCUCUGGGAGACUGACGCAGGAGGAUCAUAUAGUCAAACCCAGCCUGAGGAAUUUGGUGCCUUAGUGAGCCCAUCUCAAAAAAGAAGAAGAAGCAGAAGCAGAAGUAGAACAAGAAGAAGAAAAAGAAGAAGAAGGAGGAGGAGGAGGAGGAGAAGGAGGAGGAGGAGGAGGAAGAGGAAGAAGAAGGAGAAGGAGAAAGAGGAGGAGGAAGAGGAGGAGGAGGAAGAGGAGGAGUUGGGGCAUAGCACAGUGCAAGACUCUGGUUCAGUCUGGGGAGUCUGAAAAAUAAGAGUUUAUAUAUUGGUGAGCCUGGCUGGUUAGUGCAUAGUGCAUUGUUAAUCAGUCAACAAAGAGUUUUUAAAUUAAUCACUAAACACUUUAACAGCAGGCCAUCCCUGGUUGAAGCUUGGAGUAGGACUUCAAGACACGUGGAGGUUAUUAGAGUGGAACCGGAUCCUGCAAAAGGCUGUCAUGGUGGCUGUGAUUCUCGAGUUUGGCUCCCAGAACUGAGAUGUUGGCAACUUCAUCCCCAGAGUCACACACUGACGGCUUUUGGAGAUGAGAUCUUUGAGAAGCCAUUCCCUAGGGGACAGGUGAGCCCGUUUGUGACUUAUGGGUUAAUGCAUUCUCUUAGGAGUGAGUCUGUUGUUAAGGCCAGUUUGGCUACUGUUCCCCCUCCUGCUUCCUUCCUCUUUCUAGCAGAAGGUUUCAUUUUACAGCUACCCUGCUUUAGUAACAACAGCGAUUCCCAGGAAGCCAACUGUGCAUGCCAGUACAGAGGGAAACCAGGCAAAGCCAGUGAAUCUCGUUCCCUGAGCUCUGCACCUUGCAUGGUGGCUCUCUUGUCCUGAGGGGAUGAUAGGUGUGUGCUGGAUCUGUGAAUGAGUGAGCUAAGGAUACAACUGCAGAUACCUUCUUCGCACCUCAGCUUUCCAGCAUUGCACAGAGAUGCUAGAAUGAAUGAAGAGAAGCUGAAGGAUGAACAUUUCAGGGGAGGAGGAACGUAAGCAAAGAGAGGAAUCAGUGGCCAUGCACUGUGACCACAAAAUGGCUCCUCCUCUCACACCCUGCUGUCCCAGUGUGGUGCCCUGGGUCUCCCUGGCACUCUCUGCAGAGAGGUGUGUCUCACAGAAGGAAGGUCCUCCAACGACACAGCCCUGGACUCUGAACCCGUGGGCCUUUAGACCCAGGUGCAAAAUAACUUUCAUGCUUUAGAAAUUACUCAGUUUUUAGCGCCUGCCUUGCAAGCAGGCAGUUGUGAGUUUGAUCCCUGGUGCCGAUAAAAAGGAAAAAGACAAAAAAAAAAAAAAAAAAAAAAAAAGAAAUUACUCAGUUUUUGAUAUUCAGGUAUAGCCAAGGAAACAAAGGUGCAGGUGUUGACUCCUACAGCACAAGUCUGGGUUUCAAGACAGUUUUUCUGAUGACCGACUGUCACUACUCGGGUGGUGAACUCCAUGGCCCAUUUGCAGGUACCUGAGUUCUGCUUCCAGUGUUUGGCUCAAUGAUUACUACAUCUCUUCAAGCUUUAGUCUCUCCAUCUGUCAAAUACGGAGACCUGUUGUAAGCACUGCCUAUAAAGGCUUAUCUGAGAUUUGCAGCCUGAGACAAAGCUCUGGAUGGUUUUGCAGUGAGGACUCUGCUGUCAUGCCCUGGAAGGACAUGAUGACGCCAGUCUCUCAACUUAGGAAAGAUGCGUGCAGUUUCCAAGCAUUUUCAAUGUGGCAGAUACACUCAACUUUGCUUCUCACCCCCAAUUCAGUUGGUGUGUGAUCAGCUUCAUCCACUGUGCAGAGGGAGAGAUUAUAGUAUCUCUUGCAGGAAGUGGUGAACCUUCCAUGACAGAUCCCAUGCAAAUUGUCCAAGUUUACUCUGUGAAAUCACUGUGUGCUGUUAUUUUAUGAUCAUUUGCAAUAUUCCCAGCAAGCACUGUUUCAGAAAUUUCCACCUGCUGAGAGUUUUUUAAAAUUUUUAAUUGAUCUUGGUUCAUUCAUUGCAUCUUGCAUGUAUUUUUCCCACUUGACAAUUAAAAAUAUCUGACUUCAGCCAGAGAUGGUGGCAUGUGCAUAUGAUCUGGAAGGCUGAUGCAGGAGGAUCACAAGUUCAAGCCCAGCCUGAAAAACUUAGCAAGACUCUGUCUCAAAAAAAAAAAAAAAAAAAAAAAAAGAAAGAAAAGAAAAGAAAGAGAGAGAGAAGCUGGAAAUGUUGCUCAGUGUGUGAAAGUCCUGGGUUUAAUCCCCAGUACUGAAAGAAAAACAAAAUGCUUUCCAGUUCCAGCCCUCCCUUGUUCCCACACAGCCACAGUCCUUGAGGAGCUGGAAUAAAGUACAUACGGCAUGUAA
This is a long non-coding RNA of Cavia porcellus (domestic guinea pig), 3189 nucleotides long. RefSeq lists it as uncharacterized. NCBI's taxonomy places the organism in Eukaryota, Metazoa, Chordata, Mammalia, Rodentia, Caviidae. The record is from RefSeq and is a predicted model, not a curated record. The transcript is spliced from 4 exons.